RNAcentral lists this ribosomal RNA (483 nucleotides) under uncultured bacterium. Its description in RNAcentral is "partial 16S ribosomal RNA". It matches the Rfam family "Bacterial small subunit ribosomal RNA", at positions 29 to 506 of the family's 1533-position model. The record is from RNAcentral.
AUUGAACGCUGGCGGCAUGCUUUACACAUGCAAGUCGAACGGCAGCGCGGGCUUCGGCCUGGCGGCGAGUGGUGAACGGGUGAGUAAUACAUCGGAACGUGCCCAGUAGUGGGGGAUAGCUCGGCGAAAGCCGGAUUAAUACCGCAUACGACCUGAGGGUGAAAGCGGGGGAUCUUCGGACCUCGCGCUAUUGGAGCGGCCGAUGGCAGAUUAGCUAGUUGGUGGGGUAAAGGCCUACCAAGGCGACGAUCUGUAGCUGGUCUGAGAGGACGACCAGCCACACUGGGACUGAGACACGGCCCAGACUCCUACGGGAGGCAGCAGUGGGGAAUUUUGGACAGUGGGCGAAAGCCUGAUCCAGCAAUGCCGCGUGUGUGAUGAAGGCCUUCGGGUUGUAAAGCACUUUUGGCGGGAACGAAAAGGACUGUGCCAAUACCACGGUUCGAUGACGGUACCCGCAGAAUAAGCACCGGCUAACUACGU